This 235-nucleotide ribosomal RNA is filed under the name uncultured Aerococcus sp. RNAcentral's name for it is "partial 16S ribosomal RNA". It matches the Rfam family "Bacterial small subunit ribosomal RNA", at positions 127 to 355 of the family's 1533-position model. The record is from RNAcentral. Lineage: Bacteria; Bacillati; Bacillota; Bacilli; Lactobacillales; Aerococcaceae.
UACCGAUAACGGGGGACAACAUCCGGAAACGGUGCUAAUACCGCAUAGGAAAGUUUGUUCGCAUGAACAAACUUAGAAAAGAUGGCUCUGCUAUCACUUAUCGAUGGCCUUGCGGUGCAUUAACUAGUUGGCGAGGUAACGGCUCACCAAGGUGAUGAUGCAUAGCCGACCUGAGAGGGUAAUCGGCCACAUUGGGACUGAGACACGGCCCAAACUCCUACGGGAGGCAGCAGCC